CUGAUGUGGGGCAUCUCCCUGGGGUCCUUCCUGCUCCUCACUGCUCCCUUGCUCGGUUUAGUGAUACAGGUGCCGGAAUAUGACAUCAUAUUCCGGCUCCCGGCUUCACUUCAGUCAGCGCGCGCGAGGGAGCAGUGAGGAGCAGGAACGCUGAGCUCCCUCGCUGGCCGCCAGUGUCCUGCUUCCUCCCCGGCCGGGUAAGUGUUAGCACAGUAGGCACCUGCAAUAUGGGGAAAGCAGGUGCCUACUCUGCUAUAACACUAAGCAUG
Non-coding RNA from Pelobates cultripes (western spadefoot toad), 269 nucleotides. The record is from the annotation of a GenBank genome assembly. NCBI's taxonomy places the organism in Eukaryota, Metazoa, Chordata, Amphibia, Anura, Pelobatidae.